AGUCUGGGCAGUACGGGGCAUGCUGCAGACACUCAUCCUGUUCCUUUCUCCUGCCAGGCAGUGAGUCCAGCUCCCCAGCAAGGCCAUUGCCCCCAGGCAAUGUGGUGAGUUCCCCAGCAACUCCACCACCCACAGCUCCACAUUCUCAGAUCCCGCACGCCCUCGCCACAGGCAUGGCACUGGCAGUGGCGGCCGUCGGCCUCGUCCUUGUGGCUGCAGGCAGCUGGUUUGCCAUCAGGAAAGGUGAGGGAGUGGGGGAAGAAGGGGGGAAAGGCUGAGGCCGUGGGGGUCCUGUUGGGGGCUGGUGCAGUGGGAAAGGUGGUGGGGG
Molecule: long non-coding RNA, 328 nt
Filed under: Anas platyrhynchos (mallard)
Lineage: Eukaryota; Metazoa; Chordata; Aves; Anseriformes; Anatidae
Description: lncRNA (ENSAPLG00020012849.1)
Source: RNAcentral